RNAcentral lists this ribosomal RNA (229 nucleotides) under uncultured bacterium. Its description in RNAcentral is "partial 16S ribosomal RNA". It matches the Rfam family "Bacterial small subunit ribosomal RNA", at positions 104 to 334 of the family's 1533-position model. The record is from RNAcentral.
CGGGGUGGAGUAAUGUCUGGGAAACUGCCUGAUGGAGGGGGAUAACUGCUGGAAACGGUAGCUAUACCGCAUAACGUCGCAAGACCAAAGAGGGGGACCUUCGGGCCUCUUGCCAUCGGAUGUGCCCAGAUGGGAUUAGCUAGUAGGUGGGGUAACGGCUCACCUAGGCGACGAUCCCUAGCUGGUCUGAGAGGAUGGCCAGCCACACUGGAACUGAGACACGGUCCAG